This 68-nucleotide transfer RNA is filed under the name Streptomyces microflavus. Its description in RNAcentral is "tRNA-OTHER". Lineage: Bacteria; Bacillati; Actinomycetota; Actinomycetes; Kitasatosporales; Streptomycetaceae. The record is from RNAcentral.
CCCCGGCAUGGUCCCGGUGGACGAGGACGGAGGGCGUGGUGCCGGUUCAAGUCCGGCUCCGGGGACCA